RNAcentral lists this ribosomal RNA (326 nucleotides) under uncultured bacterium. Its description in RNAcentral is "bacterial SSU rRNA". It matches the Rfam family "Bacterial small subunit ribosomal RNA", at positions 30 to 355 of the family's 1533-position model. The record is from RNAcentral.
AUUGAACGCUGGCGGCAUGCCUUACACAUGCAAGUCGAACGGCAGCACGGGAGCAAUCCUGGUGGCGAGUGGCGAACGGGUGAGUAAGUAUAUCGGAACGUGCCCGGUCGUGGGGAUAACGUAGCGAAAGCUACGCUAAUACCGCAUACGAUCUACGGAUGAAAGCGGGGGGAUCGCAAGACCUCGCGCGAUUGGAGCGGCCGAUAUCAGAUUAGGUAGUUGGUGAGGUAAAGGCUCACCAAGCCGACGAUCUGUAGCUGGUCUGAGAGGACGACCAGCCACACUGGGACUGAGACACGGCCCAGACUCCUACGGGAGGCAGCAGU